GUGCUCACUUUGGCAGCAUAUAUACUAAAAUUGGAAAGAUACAGUGAAGAUUAGCAUGGCCCCUGAGCAAGGAUUACACACAAAUUCAUAAAGCGAUUUUU
Ictidomys tridecemlineatus (thirteen-lined ground squirrel) is the source of this 101-nucleotide small nuclear RNA. The record is from Ensembl. Lineage: Eukaryota; Metazoa; Chordata; Mammalia; Rodentia; Sciuridae.